This 301-nucleotide ribosomal RNA is filed under the name uncultured bacterium. Its description in RNAcentral is "partial 16S ribosomal RNA". It matches the Rfam family "Bacterial small subunit ribosomal RNA", at positions 509 to 807 of the family's 1533-position model. The record is from RNAcentral.
CAGCCGCCACGGUAAUACGUAGGUGGCAAGCGUUGUCCGGAUUUAUUGGGUUUAAAGGGUGCGUAGGCGGCAUUUUAAGUCAGUGGUGAAAUACGGCAGCUCAACUGUCGAGGUGCCAUUGAUACUGGGAUGCUUGAGUACUGAUGAGGUAGGCGGAAUGGACGGUGUAGCGGUGAAAUGCUUAGAUAUCGUCCAGAACACCGAUAGUGAAGGCAGCUUACUAAGGAGUAACUGACGCUGAGGCACGAAAGUGUGGGGAUCAAACAGGAUUAGAUACCCCCGUAGUCCCUGUCUCUUAUAC